CUCUGAGGCUUGGAUGAAGGUGUUAGCAAUGUGUCACCAGGAGUGUUUCAUCUGAAUCAUCGCCUGUUGGACAGUCCUUUGUGGAUCAUAAUCCUCUCUGAUGCGGCUAUCAGCCAAAAUGGUGCUGUCAACAUUUAUGUCAACGCCGAGGUUGUAAUUUUUGACAGUAAUGUUCCUGGGCUUGAUCUAAAACUCUCUGCUCACACUG
RNAcentral lists this long non-coding RNA (208 nucleotides) under Rattus norvegicus (Norway rat). RNAcentral describes it as "long non-coding RNA NONRATT032375". Lineage: Eukaryota; Metazoa; Chordata; Mammalia; Rodentia; Muridae. The record is from RNAcentral.